This 117-nucleotide non-coding RNA is filed under the name Pan troglodytes (chimpanzee). Lineage: Eukaryota; Metazoa; Chordata; Mammalia; Primates; Hominidae. The record is from Rfam by way of RNAcentral.
GCUGGGUGUGGUGGCUCACACCUGUAAUCCCAGCACUUUGGGAGGCUGAGGCGGGAGGAUCACUUGAGCCCAGGAGUUUAAAACCAGCCUGGGCAACAUAGUGAGACCUUGUCUCUA